CUGAAAACCAGAGCUCGUCCGUGGCUUCACUUGUUUUGGACUAAGGAGCUGAGGAGCGUGCAAGACUGUACUUGGAGAAUCUGUUUCUUGCUGCCAUUUCGUCACUGAACACUAUUUUUUUUCUCCUUCUUUUUUUGUAAGAAAAGGAGAACACAUAAAACCCCACCAGAACAAACUCCACUCGGCCCUGAAAGUAUUUACAAUCACGGCCCUGAAAGUACUGAAAGUAUUUACAAUCACGUUACAGUUCAUUCACUGCUGCAGAACCUCUCUCCAGCGAUCAAGGUCGAAGGGAGCCGACGUCGCCCUCUAUCGGCUCCCUGCUGCACUAGAAGGAUCGGGAAGAUGGAGGCUCCUGAAGAGCUGUAGAAGCGCAUCCUAGGCAGAAGCCCAGCAGACAGCAAAGGGCCUGGUUUGUUCAAGGAACUGGAGGGCAAGAAAAUCAGGAGCCAAUUCAUGCAGGGCACAGUUAGCCAAGGCAGGAGGCAAUCAUGCUCACCCUCUUCCACAGCCGGACUCACUCAGGAGGCCCUUCAUCUUCAUGUUCCCCACAUAGCAGAGGGGAGGGCAGAAGAUGAGAGGGAGGAGAGAGCAGAGCCAAGAGCCUCCUUUUCUCCCACUGUGCCCCUCCUAUGUGUGGCUCUGGACACCAGGAACCACCCAAGGACAGUGGGACUCCUCGAAAAGAUAAUUGCUCAUGAGGGAUCCAAGAGCAAGGCUUGUUACAUCCUAUAACCUUCACACAAAAUAUUGACUGAGAAUCCUCCAUGUGCCAAGUACUGUUCAAAAACACUGGGAACCCAGCAGGGAUGAGCCACAAGUUUCCUUGUCUUUACGAAGCUUUCAUUCUGAGGGAGUGGAGAGAGACAAGCAAUAAACAACCAAUCAAAACAAAGAUGACUCCUCUGAGUGUUGUGAUAUGCGGGUCAAGGAGGAUGGCUCCCAGGAUGUGACCUCAGAGCAGAAGCCUGGAGGCUUGCCAGCAGCGGGAAGAGCAGCGGCAGGGCACUGCAGGCAGAGUUCUGGAUGUCAGAGGUCCAACUUGAGUCUCACUGGGCUGAUGUCAAGAAGCCUGCAGAGCUGCUUUCUUCCUGGAGGCUCUAGGAGAGAUUCCGUUUUCCUGCCUUUGCCAGCUUCUAGCGGCCGCCUGUAUUCCUUGGCUCGCAUGACCCCUCUGAUACACAUCAGCAUCGUGAUGCUCCAGAGGGGAGGCAGUCCAUGAAAUGGUCUGAUUGCUGUAGAAUUCUUUUCAUGUAGCCAUCCACCCCAUUGUGAAAGAAGCAGCUGGAUAUCCAAGCAUCUUCCAAUACUCAGGCUUCAAGGUCCAAUAAUGUCCACUCCUCCCCAGGAAAAGCUGGCAUGCUGCUGACGUGGCCUCUCUACUCCUUUGUUUGCAGGCUUAGCUCACGUUCUCCUGUCCCAGCCCCUGGGCUUGCCAGUGAUGCCCAGAGGAUGAUGUGCCUGGUGGCUGAGCUCUUCCAGAACUAAAGACGUGCGGAUCCCUGAGUAUCCAUAACCAUCAAAGCAUGAAGUAAUGCCUUGUAAGUGGUGUCACCACACCUCCCAGAAGAAGGAUGGAUUCCUACCAGAAGCAGUCAAACAUAGUGCCGGAUCAUCUAAGUGAAACGGAUCCCCAUGGGUGCUGCUAUUGGGAUACCAAAGGUCUGAAGUUCAUCCAAUGCAAUAGCAGAAAUAAUUACAUCUGUGAGCAUGUGAGAAGAACCCUGAGUUAGUCCCAAGUGCAAAUCACCAUCUCCAACCAAUUCCUCCACCAAUUGAUGGAUGUUGGGGAGUGGGGUACAGCAACCCCUCCAAGUCCUUCCUCCCUCUAUAUAGCCCAGGAGACUCCCCUCCCACCAGCCUGGCCCCCAGAGUGCUGACUGGCAACAAUAUUCCAAGUUAAAAUAGUUUGCUAAAUAGUUAUACAAUUAGUUUACAAUUCAAAUAUAUCAGAGGAAAAGACAGGGAAAAAAAUUCUAAGAUACAUGAAUCCCAGACCAUUGCUCUCCAAAUAUUUUCAAGUGAUUCAUCUCCUUUAUUUAAAAAAUGAAUUAACCACCAGAUGGGACACUCAUACAUUCCUGAUGGUUGUAGGAAUCAGUAGACCCUGUAUGGAAAGCAAUAGGAUAAUAUUUCAUAGGAUCAAAUUAAAAUGUUCACAGCAUUGGUUCCAGGAAAUUGGCUUCUGGAGAAUUUAUACUCCAGAAACAAUUCAACAAAAGAACACAGCUCUGUGCAUGCAGAUGCUCAUUAGCCCAUCACCUAGAGUAAGGGAAAGUGGAGAUCCCAAUGAACAACAAUGAGAUGGGUUAGCGAACUGUGACCUAUCAGCCCAAUGGACAUUUAAGCAAUCACUGAAAAGUAGAAACAUGAAGAUAUUACACAACAUGGAAACUGUUUAUGGAGUAUAUUUAGGUAAAAAGGAAAAAAAGGCAGAACUGUAUAUCUGUGGUUGGAUAUACUUUUUUUUUUUUAAUAUUAAGCACCAACCAAAAGAAGAAAGGAGGAUAGAAAAAAUAAAAUGGAAGAUGUAGGGUGGGCAGAUUAGGGCUGCGUUUGUUGCUUGCUUUCAUGUUACCAUCAUAGCGUUUUUGCCACUUACAAAGGAGGAAAAAAAUCAAUUCUGUGCCAACCCAGACAACAGAGACCUGAGUGGGGGUUGGGAAGAGAGAUUUUUCAGCACAGAAUCAGACUCCUUCUCCAAAGAGCUGUGUGGCCUUCACCUGCAAGGCGACCUCUUCCACAAGCAGAGGCCAGGACAAAAAGAGGCACCUGUGAGCGACAAAGACGGUUUCCUUGGUUUCCCUCACGGCGCCAAGCGGAGUGGCCGCCUCCCACCACAGGGCCCCCUAAUGGGCGCUUUUGUCCUGCGGGGCAGAGGGACCUCAUUAGAAGGCGCUGGUGCUAAAGGGAAAUGCAUUUCCAGAACAGGAGGUUUCAUCAUUCCUAGCGUUAGCGACAGAAUGGUGACAGAAGCUCUGUGGACGUAUUUUCCAGCGUUCAGUUCACAUCAAGGAUGGGUAUGCACUGGCGGAAAAGGUCAGCUCGCAGAAUGAUCGCCCAUCCACACAGCGUUUGGAGGUCAGACGUUCCUGAUGACUGUGAAAAUGGGGAGGUGAGAAGAGGUCGUCAAAGGGAGCAGCCUUUUAAAGCCAGGGUCGUGAGAAGAAGAGGCAAGGCGUUUGGUAAAUCGAAUUGAUUGAUGCCCAGAAGCAUUUGCGGGUUGCAGAGCUCACACUUUAAAGGGGGCCUGGGCACCCGGCUUGAGGGUCACCCGAACACACUACCCACGCGGCGAGGCGAGCGUGGGGAACAAUGGGCCCACCCGGG
This 3330-nucleotide long non-coding RNA is filed under the name Homo sapiens (human). RNAcentral describes it as "HSALNT0306445". The record is from RNAcentral. Lineage: Eukaryota; Metazoa; Chordata; Mammalia; Primates; Hominidae.